UCCCUGGAGAACUAGUGGUUAGGCCAAUGGCGCUCUCACCGCCGUGGCCGGGGUUCGAUUCCCGGCUGGGGAA
Molecule: non-coding RNA, 73 nt
Organism: Pangasianodon gigas (Mekong giant catfish)
Lineage: Eukaryota; Metazoa; Chordata; Actinopteri; Siluriformes; Pangasiidae
Source: the annotation of a GenBank genome assembly